Molecule: ribosomal RNA, 249 nt
Filed under: uncultured bacterium
Lineage: Bacteria
Description: partial 16S ribosomal RNA
Rfam family: Bacterial small subunit ribosomal RNA
Source: RNAcentral
AACGAUGGCGACCGGCGCACGGGUGAGUAACACGUAUCCAACCUGCCGAUAACUCGGGGAUAGCCUUUCGAAAGAAAGAUUAAUAUCCGAUGGUAUAUUUUCUCCGCAUGGUGAGAAUAUUAAAGAAUUUCGGUUAUCGAUGGGGAUGCGUUCCAUUAGUUUGUUGGCGGGGUAACGGCCCACCAAGACCACGAUGGAUAGGGGUUCUGAGAGGAAGGUCCCCCACAUUGGAACUGAGACACGGUCCAA